This 3610-nucleotide non-coding RNA is filed under the name Pan troglodytes (chimpanzee). The record is from RNAcentral. Lineage: Eukaryota; Metazoa; Chordata; Mammalia; Primates; Hominidae.
CACUGCCCCCAUCCCGGGGCCCACCAUUACCAGCAGGGAGAGGGAGGCAGGUGAGCCCCCCGAGCCCCACGCCUCCUGUCGCGGGGACUCCCCAGACCCAAUGCUGUGCCAGUGCAGGCCAGGCAGGGGGCUGAGGCCAAGGCCUGGUCAUUGCCAUCCUGGUCACGAUCUGGUGAAGGAUUUGAGUCCAGAAGCCAAACGUCUACAGUCGUGUGGUGCGGACACUCAGGAUGGACUGCCCAGGCCAUGGGGGGCUCUGAGGGAUGAAGAGGAACCUGCGGGAGCGAGGUGGGCUGCACGUCUCUGAGAAAGUGCAUGAGUUGAGUGCUGCUGCAGAGGGAAGCUGGGGUCCACCGCUGGUGAGCGGGGAGGGGACGGGACACAGAACCGGCCGUGGCCCACCCCGAGAGGGAGGCGCAGACACCAGGCCCGUUCUGUGCUCUGGAGGCUUUGGGCAGCUGUCAGGCUAGUGGACCAUGUGCAGAGCAGACAGAGGCGUGAGGAGGCGGCUCUGGGGUCACCUAGGUGGGCAGCCCUCACAGGGGAGGCCGCGGGGGAGGGCAGGAGGGCGGAGCAGGCGGCGGUGCAGGAGGCCCGUGGAACUUGGAGGGCUCUGUGUCCAGCUCUCAUGGCCCCGGGCGGGGGCAGCUCCAAGGCCUCGGGCUUGGGGACAGAAAGGAGAGGACUUGGGGGUUGGGGGUGGUCAGAGCAUUGUGGGAGGGAUCUGGGGCAGCUGGGGCUUCCCAGAGGGUGAGGCGUCUGCUGGGAAUCGGGGCAGCCCCAGGCGUCCCCAGGCCUCCAGUCCAGCCCCGGUUCCUCCACGCUGCAGGCCAGGGUAUCAGUUGCCUGCUGGGAAACCUCAGGGUGCCUCUGGCUCAAGUGCCUGCCCCUGACACUCCUGGCCCUGGGCUCCCCCCGCCUCCCCGUCCGUCUGCUUUCCCCACCUCCCCGUCCGUCUGCUUUCCCCACCUCCUCCCCUCCCCUGGCCGUCUUUCUGCCUCGGGGAUGGCGUCACCUCUCACCCCAAAUCAGGACCCUGGGCCCCAGCUCUGUUCCCCACCUCACCUUCCUUGUGACCAACUCCUGACCUCCCAUGGGCUUGGGGUGUCUGUGGCCGGAACAUUCCUCAGACCCUCUCCUCCAGCCCCACUCUGUCCCACCACCCGGGCAUCCCCCACUUGGGUUCCAGCCCUCCAAGGGGCCCCACGCUCUGUGUCCAUGAUCAGGACACUCACACGCACCCAGCUCGCGCCCUUCCUUCCAGACAUUCGAGCUCUCGAAGCUCACAGCCACCCUAGCUUAGUGCACAGCCACAGCCCAGGCAACUUCAACAUCCCCACCUUCCAGGUGAGGAAACCGAGGCACCGAGAGCUGGGGGCCAGGCCAGGGGGUCUCCCUGGGGGGAGCAGAGGAGUGUCGGACCUCAGAAGAGGCUCUGGGGGUCUGAGCCGCCACCGGGCGCUGCCUUCCAGGUUCAGCAGGGACAGAGCUCAGGGGGAAGGCACCUCCCGUCCUGGUUCAAUACAUGGACCCCUGACCCGGGGAAAGGGACUGAGCCAGGGGAGGCCUCAGGUCACUGCACCAUGAAGUUGUGGGGAGCUGCGGGGGCCUCUGGGCUCUGAGCUGGGCAGGCACAGCGUGGGUACCACGUGCCGAGGGGAAGAAGCGUGCCAGGGUGGACGUCUCAGUGCACACGCAGGAACGUGAAACGGCUGAGCCGGCCCAGAGAGGCAGCGGAGCGUGUGCGGGGCGGCCGGCGGAGGAGCAGCAGGAUCCCAGGCGGGAGGGCACGGCCUUCUGAGAGGCAGGUUCCAGGACAAUACUCAGUGUUUCGAUCCAGGAGGUCCCAUUGUGGCGUUUCAUCAAUAAACGCACAUGCGAGGUGGAGGGUGGCUGGUGUGGAAUGUGCCCGGCAGCUUUCACAGCAAAGGAGAAUUCUAGAACCAACCGAAGUGCCCCUCUGAAGGGAGCUGGUCCCGUCCGUUCCAGCCGCCGUGGAGUAACACAGCCAGCAGUUUCCCUCCUGUCACGAAAGCUCGAGACUGAAACUCAGGAUGAACUGUUUUCAGCCAGGGUCACCCCAGCCCUGGGGUGGAGGCCCAUUGAGGAUGGCCGAGCAGGGGCGGGCGUCCAGGCAGGUCCAGCAGUCCUGGGGGGCUGAGGAGAAGGAGGUCAGGGCUCAGGGAGGCAUCCGCAGAGGGACCUGGCAGGCAGAGCUCCAGAAGGGCGGGAACUGCACAGACAGAAAGCUCCAGAAGGCUGCCUGAGGGUCUCUGAGGCCUCCGGAGUCAGGCGCCAUGCAUGUGGAAGGUGGACUCUUCAGCAUGGGUGGGACCCUAGGGGGCUGUGGACCCCCGGUCCCUGGGACUCACAGGUGGGAGACAGGAGUUCCGACCGCCAGGGGGAGAGUCCUGGAGGAUCCUGGGCUGUCGGCAGCCACCCAGCAGGGCCCGUCCUGGGAGGGGCCCUUCCUGCAGGAAAGGCUGGGCUGGACCUGCUCUGAGAGGCUUCAGAACCAGCCACACGAAGACCAAAGUGAAGAGCAAGGAGCUGAACUCCACGCAGAACACAGCGCAGCGUCCUUUAAAGGAAGGCCAAAAACAACCCAACAAAAAUGCCAGGUGAUCAAAGCCGUCACAGCACAAUGUCCACAUCCAACGAGAAAUUGCUGCUAUGUCCAGACGCAGGGAAAGGUGGCCGUGGGAACGUGAGUCAGCAGCAACAGGCCCAGAAGGGCAGCCAUGGUGGACUUGUCAGACGUGGACCCUGAAAUGACAAUCACAGCGUGAUUUCAGGCAGGAGCCUGAAAUGGUACAGCUUUGGACAUCGGUUUGGCAAAUUCUUUUAGAGAGAAACACACACCUUCCCUAGGACCCCGCAACUCCACUCCUAGUAACCAAGUGAAAUGGAAGGAGUUGUCCUCAGCAAAACGUGUGUGCGGAAGUUCACAGUCACUUUCUCUGUGAUAACCAAGAGCUGGAAACCACUGCAACACCCACCAGCAGGUGAACGGAUUAACACACUGGGCUAGGGCCACACAAUGAGAUGCUACGUGGCAACACAAAAUGAACCGUGGACACACACUGCAUGGCGGAUGAAUAUGCAGACAUCAGGCCACGUGAAGGGAGCCAGGCCCCGAGGCGCCACGCUUUGUGAUUCAGGGUGGUCCCGCUGCGCCCAAGACCCAGCUGCCUCCUCCUCUUCCUGGCUGCAGGGAGUGCUUGUGUCUGAAGAACGCCAGGCUGGUGUCCCCAGAGGGUGGCUGGAGGGGCUCAGAAACCAUUUUCACUUUCUGUCUCCUCCAUGUCUGCACUGUUUGGGUUUGUACCCGCCUGUGUUGCUUUUGCACGGGAAGUGAGAUGGAGAGACACGUGAACCACCAUUGCUGGGGUUCCAGCAUGGGGCCGCAGGGGACCCAUGGCUUUCCCAGAAGGAAGCUCUGCCACUGGACAGCCGGUCUCAGGCUGCUGCACAGGCCCCUCCCCGCCCUCAGCCCUGGCCUGCGGGAAUCAGGAAAGGGUGGGGUCCAGCUGCAUUGCGAAUGGACUAAAGCCACUGAUUUGCACACUUGCCAAUGGCUGAAAUGGUCAAUAAAACGUCAUGUACCUUU